AACAAACGCUGGCGGCGUGCCUAAUACAUGCAAGUCGAACGAGGAAAGCUUUCGGGUGAGUACUAGUGGCGCACGGGUGAGGAAUAUAUGGGUAAUCUGCCCUCGAGUUGGGGAUAACCAGUCGAAAGGCUGGCUAAUACCGAAUAAGACCACAGGAUCUGCGGAUCUAGGGGUUAAAGGUUUUUAGCUUGAGGAUGAGCCCAUACGGGAUUAGCUAGUUGGCGAGGUAAUGGCUCACCAAGGCUACGAUCCCUAACUGGUCUUAGAGGAUGAUCAGUCACACUGGAACUGAGACACGGUCCAGACUCCUACGGGAGGCAGCAGUAGGGAAUAUUGCACAAUGGGGGAAACCCUGAUGCAGCGACGCCGCGUGAGUGAUGAAGGCCUUCGGGUCGUAAAGCUCUGUCGUAUGGGACUAACACAAUGAAGGUACCAUGCAAGAAAGGAUCGGCUAACUUCGUGCCAGCCGCCGCGGUAA
Molecule: ribosomal RNA, 478 nt
Filed under: uncultured bacterium
Lineage: Bacteria
Description: partial 16S ribosomal RNA
Rfam family: Bacterial small subunit ribosomal RNA
Source: RNAcentral